Molecule: long non-coding RNA, 509 nt
Organism: Dromaius novaehollandiae (emu)
Lineage: Eukaryota; Metazoa; Chordata; Aves; Casuariiformes; Dromaiidae
Source: Ensembl
AAAAUUCCAAGAAGUUAAUACUUUUGUCAAAUUCUUUUUUUACAGCUCUGACUCGUGAGGUAUCUAUCCACUCUACCAGAAGCGGAAAGAGUAACCUGCAGAAAAUAGGCUAUGACAGCUUGAUUACUGAUUUUUUAAAAAGGAAGAAGAAAAUAAUGAAGAGGCAAAUCUGCUGCGGAAGUGCACCUCAGAUCUGGAGCUGUGCUGCAGACAUCGACCAGCAUCGUUUCCCCAACCCAACCCCUUCCUCUCAUGUAAAGAACUGAAAUGCAGCAUCCCAUCAACAUUGUGGUUGCAGAGAAAGCCCAGUGCCGGCAGCAACGGACGGUCUGGUGUCCUCGGGCUGAGACGUGCCUGUGCCACACAGAGGGACGGGACACCCCGGCUUGUGGUGCCCCAGGCCAUCGCCAGCCAAAGAGGCCACAACACAGACCUUCAAGGCUGCAUACAUAGCCCAUAAUUGAUAAGGAAAGAGACUGGACUUCUGCAAACCAGGAAACUUGCUGGUG